GACGAACGCUGGCGGCGUGCCUAACACAUGCAAGUCGAGCGGAGUCAGUAAGAGGAAGUUUUCGGAUGGAAUCUUAUUGAUUUAGCGGCGGACGGGUGAGUAACGCGUGAGCGACCAACCUUGCACAGGGGGAUAACGGACCGAAAGGUUCACUAAUACCGCAUGAGACCACGGUGUUGCAUGACACAGUGGUCAAAGGAGUAAUCCGGUGCAAGACGGGCUCGCGUCCGAUUAGGUAGUUGGAGGGGUAACGGCCCACCAAGCCUAUGAUCGGUAGCCGACCUGAGAGGGUGAUCGGCCACAUUGGAACUGAGAUACGGUCCAAACUCCUACGGGAGGCAGCAGUGGGGAAUAUUGGGCAAUGGGGGAAACCCUGACCCAGCAACGCCGCGUGAAGGAAGAAGGUUUUCGGAUUGUAAACUUCUGUCCUUGGUGAAGAGAAGAAGACGGUAGCCAAGGAGGAAGCCCCGGCUAACUACGUGCCAGCCGCCGCGGUAA
This 498-nucleotide ribosomal RNA is filed under the name uncultured bacterium. Its description in RNAcentral is "partial 16S ribosomal RNA". It matches the Rfam family "Bacterial small subunit ribosomal RNA", at positions 28 to 523 of the family's 1533-position model. The record is from RNAcentral.